This 468-nucleotide ribosomal RNA is filed under the name uncultured bacterium. RNAcentral describes it as "partial 16S ribosomal RNA". It matches the Rfam family "Bacterial small subunit ribosomal RNA", at positions 28 to 507 of the family's 1533-position model. The record is from RNAcentral.
GACGAACGCUGGCGGCGUGCUUAACACAUGCAAGUCGAACGGAAAGGCCCUGCUUUUGUGGGGUGCUCGAGUGGCGAACGGGUGAGUAACACGUGAGUAACCUGCCCUUGACUUUGGGAUAACUUCAGGAAACUGGGGCUAAUACCGGAUAGGAGCUCCUGCUGCAUGGUGGGGGUUGGAAAGUUUCGGCGGUUGGGGAUGGACUCGCGGCUUAUCAGCUUGUUGGUGGGGUAGUGGCUUACCAAGGCUUUGACGGGUAGCCGGCCUGAGAGGGUGACCGGCCACAUUGGGACUGAGAUACGGCCCAGACUGCUACGGGAGGCAGCAGUGGGGAAUAUUGCACAAUGGGCGGAAGCCUGAUGCAGCAACGCCGCGGGCGGGAUGACGGCCUUCGGGUGGUAAACCGCGUUCGCCUGUGACGAAGCGUGAGUGACGGUAAUGGGUAAAGAAGCACCGGCUAACUACGUG